Molecule: long non-coding RNA, 521 nt
Filed under: Malus domestica (apple)
Lineage: Eukaryota; Viridiplantae; Streptophyta; Magnoliopsida; Rosales; Rosaceae
Description: long non-coding RNA (MDOM_LNC009727)
Source: RNAcentral
AAUCUUGCUGGGGGUCUGGCUCUCGAGAUUCGGAGAGCGGUGUCUCUUCGAUUUUUGAGAAAGUAAUCAUGUUGAGAGUCUGGCUCUCGAGAUUCGGAGGGCGGUGCCUCUUCGAUUUUGGAGCAAGCAAUCUUGUUGGGAGUGUUUUCUCGAAUGUGAGUAAAGGUUGGGCGUGUUUGCUAGUCUACCUUGCCACGAAGCACAGAGGUUGACACACAGGGACUUUCCAAUUAUCCAGCAGUGGUACUGUUCCUUUACCCUCUCUUCGAUUUUUGAGAAAGUAAUCAUGUUGGAAGUCUGGCUCUCGAGAUUCGGAGGGCGGUGCCUCUUCAAUUUUGGAGCAAGCAAUCUUGUUGGGAGUGUUUUCUCGAAUGUGAGUACAGGUUGGGCAUGUUUGCUAGUCUACCUUGCCACGAAGCACAGAGGUUGACACACCGGGACUUUCCAAUUAUCCAGCAGUGGUACUGUUCCUUUACCCUUGUGGGUAAUAAUAUGGUAGCUAGACCUUCAAAAUUUAUGUG